Gallus gallus (chicken) is the source of this 1183-nucleotide long non-coding RNA. Lineage: Eukaryota; Metazoa; Chordata; Aves; Galliformes; Phasianidae. The record is from Ensembl.
AGAGGGUUUGUGGACAGGGGUCCAGGUGGAGCUGCUCAGAGCAUCCCUCAGAACUGCCUCACUUUUAUAAACCCAGACUAACAACCUCAGUGAAUUCAGGUGUGACAGCAAGGUGAGAAACAGGAAGGGAGCAGAAAAGCCAUUAGAAGAAAGAUGGGACCUAAAAGAUAAGACCUGAGCAGGAGCAAGCAGAGCAUAAUCUCCUCCUCAACAUGAUGCAACCAGCAGUAUCCAGCAGCCUGCUUGGCAGACUCAGGCCUAGAAUGGAAACAGCAUGAAGCAAAGAAAAAGGGUGUGAAAUAUAAAGCUAUCUUUCAGGGAUCACAUGGUCCCACCAGGAAAUAUGGAAACCUCUGACUCGUCUGGAUUUCUCUCUCUCCCUCCCUUUGGGUCUUUUGCAGAAAGCAUAGCCUGUGUGCCCAGGAGGUGAUGAAAUCCCUAAAGCUGUAUGGCACAUGGGGAAUUUGGGGGAUUGCAAAACAGGAUGUUUCUUGGAGGAAAUACAGUCUCAGCAAGCAAAAGGUUCAAGUACGGUACAUCUCACAAUGAUGUAAGAGCUUGAUUAUGCAUCUCGCUUAAAGCCCAGCUUAGGGUUUUAGUUCUAGUAGAACUAAUAGGCAACACCUGCUGCGAUGAAAACAAUUUCCGUCCCUGAACUCUAGCAGAAGUGUUUAUCUUUUGAGUUAGAAAAUGUUUCUCUAAUAUCUGAACAAGACUCCAGGGACAGGAACAUAUGCCCAGAACUGGCGUUUCUGCACAUCGGAUAGCUUAUAAAAAUGAGAAUUAGAAAAACCUGGUAUCAUCAGACAUCUUGUCCAAUGAAGUCAUUAAAUGGAAAAAAACAACAAGGUUCCUCUAAUGCUCCUCUCUCUGCCACCAUAGCCCCGGUUGCUCUUUGUAGUGCAGAAACAGAGGCUACUGAAAAACGUGUUGGAGUAAAUUCUGAGUUCACUGCAUGGGCCUUACCCAGAGCUGCUCCUGGCAAAACUAUCAUUGGCUUCAAUGGAAACAUUACCCAAAAGUGGGCCUCAGGACUCAGACCUCUUGGUAUUAGUUACUAAUUUUAUUAUUAAAGGUUAAACAGAGCUGUUGGCAGUACAAACAAUUUUCUUACGUAAGCAGUGAAAGGGAGAUUGUCAGAUACGCAAAAUAAAACAAUACUGCCAAGUCAAGGCAAUAUAGG